UACGGAGGGGGCUAGCGUUGUUCGGAAUUACUGGGCGUAAAGCGCGCGUAGGCGGACCUGCAAGUCGGGGGUGAAAGCCCGAGGCUCAACCUCGGAACUGCCUUCGAUACUGCGGGUCUCGAGUCCGGAAGAGGCGAGUGGAAUUCCUGGUGUAGCGGUGAAAUGCGCAGAUAUCGGGAGGAACACCGGUGGCGAAGGCGGUUCUCUGGGCCUUACCUGACGCUGAGGAGCGAAAGCGUGGGGAGCGAACAGG
This 253-nucleotide ribosomal RNA is filed under the name uncultured bacterium. Its description in RNAcentral is "partial 16S ribosomal RNA". It matches the Rfam family "Bacterial small subunit ribosomal RNA", at positions 524 to 776 of the family's 1533-position model. The record is from RNAcentral.